AAAGAGAUAUUUAGGUAUUAUGUUCAUACAUGAUCCUAUAUAUUACAUUGAUGGUAGGUUCAUCGGCCAAAAAAAGGCAUGAGGCAUAUGACAGUCAUUUAAAUCAGGUAGACUCAUCGCUGUGUGUGCCAUCGAUGUUGAAACUGACCUCAUUGUCUAAGCAACUCUUCAUGGUGGGCUGUCAUUGGCAAAAGCAGAUAUGACUUCCAUGCAAUCAUCCAAUCUUAGAUGGAUAGAACUGAACAGUUGCCCCGAGACCAACGGUCCUUGUGUUGAGUGUUAAGUAAACUAAGUUUGGAUGGCCAAUUUGUUGCAUCAUAGCAUCCAAAAGCACUUUUUCCAUCACGGCGGACUGAUGACAGAGAGGAAGACAAUGUAAGCAAGUGUUGAAAGCUUUAUUCUACAUGUGUCUAUAUAUCUAUAAUUUUUUGUGACAAAAAGAUUGCUGAUAAACAAUUGUAAUUGUAAGUGAAUGUGUAGUUCGCAUGUACAAUCUCAAACUCUUGUGGUUUAGACAUGGUAGUAAAUAUGAAGAGACAUGUGCAUAUACCAACAGAUGAUAAAAAAUAAGAAUAAUAGGGUUUUAAGCUUGCUUUUCUGUAGAGGAUAAAGCAUGUACUAUCUGUUAGGUACCAACAAAAUAGCACCUUUACAUGUAUGUAUGACGACGUAUCAAUCGACUUUUAAGUUGUUGAUUACGAACCAUAUACGCAUCAAGGACCGAUAGCUUGACCAAAGAAGGAACUUCAUUAGCAUUUGCCAGAUCAGGCUAUAGAAGCAAAAACAAAGUACCAUCAGGUUGAUCUCUAAUUUUCAUCGAACUAACACAAGGGCAUUUUACACUGCCCGCCAGGCCGCCACCACUAUUGUUGUCCGUAAACAAAUGUUUAUCUACUAUUGUACUCAGGUUAACUUGAAUCAGCCAGCAUGAAUCAGACAUUUCUGAAAUGGGCAUCAACAGAUCAACAUGGUAUGCAUCUACAUGAGACGACCAAUCUUUUCUUGUUAAGAAUGACACAAAUAUUGACCUCAGUGACGGGCAAUAACUAUACUGCUACAUCUGCUUCAGAAGUAAAAUUUCUCUAUCUUUGACCAUGUCUCUAAGGAACAACAUUAGCUGGAAACUGAAAUAAUACUGUGAUGUUGGUCAAGGUUUGCGUUGAAGUGGGUGAAGCGGUCUGAUUCAGUGAUGAUCCACCAGAGGAAGUGACGUGCUGGUGCGAUGCAUAUAGGGGAGGUAGCGGAUCUUGCGGGUGAGGGAGCAGAUCUUGCAAUCGACGUUGAGGUACAUCAACGAUGGACUGGAGGAGACAGGGUGAGUGAGAGAUGGUUUGGUACACGGAGGGGGGAGGAGGGGACGGAUAAGGUCAAGGCAUUAGCAACCUGGCAAGUGGAAUUCAAUCCUAUAGUUGGAUAGUUCCAGUGGAUUUUACUAUAUAGUUUUGUAGCUUUAAUUAGUGAAAAGGCCUCAAUUGGUUUCUGCAACAUGCUUGUCUGUUGGCAGCUGGAGCAUACUUGGCAAAUAAUGGGCCUUGCCGUGAGUGGUGGUGGGUGACCUCGACGAGCAGGGCAAUGGCCAGAUACGAGUCAGGCACCAAAGAUGACUGGAAGCACUCAAAAAAGUUUACCACGCUAGAGCUAUGUCAGGUACCUACUAAUUACAAAAAAUGAAUUUUAGUGAACAGGAGAAUCUUCACCUGAGAUUGAAGUAAGAAAAUGGGAUUAGUUCACCUUUGAUCUGCAAUAGCACAUUUAGGAAUACCCAAUUUAUUCUUCAAUCAUGCAAGUACCCAGGACAAAAACACUUCCAGCUCAUUGGUGAGCAACCUUACCAAAGCUCCUGCAAAUUGGAAAACUAUGAUUUCAGGAGGGUAAAUGACACCAACAACUAUCAGGCAUAGCUCCCAGUAUGAAGUUGGUACCAUUUGCACAUUUGGUACUAACAACAGCUCUAGUGAUAAAGAAAGAUGCAGUGGUAUAUGAAGAAUUCUGUAGGGCAGAAAUAAAUGUUGCUUUUGUACAUCUCUAGUCUAGAAAGAAAUGAUAUAUAGUAGAAAUACUAAAUAUUACAGGGCAAAAGAAAUUACUACCGUCCAUACGCGAGAGGUGACUGAGCUUAAUGCCUAGCAAACUAUUUAAGCCUACACACACAUAGCAAUGUUAAGAUCUCCAUGUAUUUCUUGGAAUGGAAAAGACCUCUGGAUUUUAUACAAAAGCAUGAUACAAUCUGUUUCUCCAUUUUUGAACUCAUUUCAAAUGACUUCAGUAAGAAAAAAAUUAGUUCUUAUCUCGCAACUCAUUGAAACAGACAACCUGGCAUUACAUCAAGGUGACCACCUCGGGUUGCGAAACAUGGCCUAUAAUAAUAUGACAGUAAACACAUAUUCAUAUGAACCUAGGCAGCAAUAACCUCUGAUAGGAGGAAGGGGAAGACCAAACAUGAAUUAUAGAGGACCUCUGGAUAGGCCAUUGGGCACUAAUUGCUCUAAAAGCACACAAAAAGUAAGUUGACACCAACGGAAUACAGUUGCAUCACUUCUCAUGCACCAAGUAAAGCAGAAAUGAGUGAGCAAAUCAAACAAAUAUUCACUCAAGGAGAUCAGAUCCAAUUGGCUAAACACAUAUUGCAGAGAUAGAGUCCUAGUUUUUACCUCGCCUAUUUGUGGCCAGUAACCCCAUGAGAAUCUCAUCUCGUGCAUCAAAAUCCUAUGACCCCCACUCCAAGCAUAAAGGCCAAGACCAACAACGGCGGAGGAUCUGUGAAAGGCAAAGAAAGUGAGAGAAGCACCCUGGUCUGAACCAAUCCAACAUAAGAAUGUGGCCAUUUAAUCAAGAACAAAUAACUGUGAGCGCGUUUUACUGACAAGCUAGAUCAAACAUCAUUAAGAAGAAACAAUCUUAAACAUUAUAUUGAAGUAAACAUUAGGAAGUGCUUCAGUAUUGACUUUUAUCUAAAAUUCUAAACAGGGGAACACCUGGGCUUUACAUUGCAUAGUUCAGUAGAGAUCAUGAG
This 3013-nucleotide long non-coding RNA is filed under the name Triticum aestivum (bread wheat). RNAcentral describes it as "long non-coding RNA (TAES_LNC011431)". The record is from RNAcentral. Lineage: Eukaryota; Viridiplantae; Streptophyta; Magnoliopsida; Poales; Poaceae.